This 415-nucleotide ribosomal RNA is filed under the name uncultured bacterium. Its description in RNAcentral is "bacterial SSU rRNA". It matches the Rfam family "Bacterial small subunit ribosomal RNA", at positions 30 to 447 of the family's 1533-position model. The record is from RNAcentral.
AUUGAACACUGGCGGCAUGCCUAACACAUGCAAGUCGAACGGUAACAGGCCCUUCGGGUGCCGACGAGUGGCGGAUGGGUGAGUAAUACUUAGGAAUCUACCCUGUAGUGGGGGACAACCCGGGGAAACUCGGGCUAAUACCGCAUACGCUCUACGGAGGAAAGCGGGGACCGCAAGGCCUCGCGCUAUUGGAUGAGCCUAAGCCCGAUUAGCUAGUUGGUGGGGUAAUAGCCUACCAAGGCAAUGAUCGGUAGCUGGUCUGAGAGGACGACCAGCCACACUGGGACUGAGACACGGCCCAGACUCCUACGGGAGGCAGCAGUGGGGAAUAUUGGACAAUGGGCGAAAGCCUGAUCCAGCGAUGCCGCGUGUGUGAAGAAGGCCUGCGGGUUGUAAAGCACUUUCAGUAGGGAAG